CCCCCCCCCCGCCCUAGAGUUUGAUCCUGGCUCAGGACGAACGCUGGCGGCGUGCUUAACACAUGCAAGUCGAACGGUGAAGCCCAGCUUGCUGGGUGGAUCAGUGGCGAACGGGUGAGUAACACGUGAGUAACCUGCCCCUGACUCUGGGAUAAGCCUUGGAAACGAGGUCUAAUACCGGAUAUGUGACGUUCAGGCAUCUGAUGCGUCUGGAAAGAUUUAUCGGUCAGGGAUGGACUCGCGGCCUAUCAGCUUGUUGGUGGGGUAACGGCCUACCAAGGCGACGACGGGUAGCCGGCCUGAGAGGGCGACCGGCCACACUGGGACUGAGACACGGCCCAGACUCCUACGGGAGGCAGCAGUGGGGAAUAUUGCACAAUGGGCGCAAGCCUGAUGCAGCGACGCCGCGCGAGGGAUGAAGGCCUUCGGGUUGUAAACCUCUUCAGCAGGAAGAAGCGCAAGUGACGUACCUGAAAGAAUUCAGGCACGGAC
RNAcentral lists this ribosomal RNA (492 nucleotides) under Cellulomonas pakistanensis. RNAcentral describes it as "bacterial SSU rRNA". It matches the Rfam family "Bacterial small subunit ribosomal RNA", at positions 1 to 498 of the family's 1533-position model. Lineage: Bacteria; Bacillati; Actinomycetota; Actinomycetes; Micrococcales; Cellulomonadaceae. The record is from RNAcentral.